GAUAAACGCUGACAGAAUGCUUAACACAUGCAAGUCGAACGGUAACGGGGAGGGAGAUUACUUUCUCUGCUGACGAGUGGCGGACGGGUGAGUAAAGCUUGGGAAUCUGGCGAAUGGAGGGGGAUAGCCACGGGAAACUGUGGGUAAUACCGCGUAAUGUCUAAGGACCAAAGGGGUGGGACUGAGAGGCCACCUGCCAUUUGAUGAGCCCAAGUGGGAUUAGGUAGUUGGUGAGGUAAGGGCUCACCAAGCUGACGAUCUCUAGCUGGUCUGAGAGGAUGGCCAGCCACACUGGAACUGAGACACGGCCCAG
This 313-nucleotide ribosomal RNA is filed under the name uncultured bacterium. RNAcentral describes it as "bacterial SSU rRNA". It matches the Rfam family "Bacterial small subunit ribosomal RNA", at positions 28 to 334 of the family's 1533-position model. The record is from RNAcentral.